RNAcentral lists this ribosomal RNA (426 nucleotides) under Vibrio rotiferianus. Its description in RNAcentral is "bacterial SSU rRNA". It matches the Rfam family "Bacterial small subunit ribosomal RNA", at positions 258 to 676 of the family's 1533-position model. The record is from RNAcentral. Lineage: Bacteria; Pseudomonadati; Pseudomonadota; Gammaproteobacteria; Vibrionales; Vibrionaceae. RNAcentral also lists the same sequence under 1 other name.
UAAUGGCUCACCAAGGCGACGAUCCCUAGCUGGUCUGAGAGGAUGAUCAGCCACACUGGAACUGAGACACGGUCCAGACUCCUACGGGAGGCAGCAGUGGGGAAUAUUGCACAAUGGGCGCAAGCCUGAUGCAGCCAUGCCGCGUGUGUGAAGAAGGCCUUCGGGUUGUAAAGCACUUUCAGUCGUGAGGAAGGUAGUGUAGUUAAUAGCUGCAUUAUUUGACGUUAGCGACAGAAGAAGCACCGGCUAACUCCGUGCCAGCAGCCGCGGUAAUACGGAGGGUGCGAGCGUUAAUCGGAAUUACUGGGCGUAAAGCGCAUGCAGGUGGUUUGUUAAGUCAGAUGUGAAAGCCCGGGGCUCAACCUCGGAAUUGCAUUUGAAACUGGCAGACUAGAGUACUGUAGAGGGGGGUAGAAUUUCAGGUGU